RNAcentral lists this small RNA (452 nucleotides) under Pan troglodytes (chimpanzee). RNAcentral's name for it is "processed transcript". Lineage: Eukaryota; Metazoa; Chordata; Mammalia; Primates; Hominidae. The record is from RNAcentral.
GUGUAACUGGAUACAUCCUUGAUGGCCACCCUCAGCUCACCUGCAUAGCCAAUUCAGUUAAUACAGCUUCGUGGGAUUUUCCUGUUCCUAUCUGUAGAGCUGAAGAUGCUUGUGGAGGAACAAUGAGAGGAUCCAGUGGCAUCAUAUCCAGCCCUAGUUUUCCUAAUGAGUACCAUAACAAUGCUGAUUGCACUUGGACCAUUGUAGCAGAGCCUGGGGACACAAUUUCACUCAUAUUUACUGAUUUUCAAAUGGAAGAGAAAUAUGAUUACUUAGAAAUAGAAGGUUCUGAGCCACCUACCAUAUGGUUUGGAUAUUUAAAAGAUCUUACAGGAAAGUUAUGUGAAGAGGUUGUCAGAGCUGAAGGAUAUUUUUGAAGAUCGAGCUAUUUACAUAAAAAAUAGAUGAAAUUCAAAACUUGUAUGAACAAAUAAAAGUUAUUCCUAUUGUAA